This 1091-nucleotide unclassified non-coding RNA is filed under the name Hevea brasiliensis (rubber tree). Lineage: Eukaryota; Viridiplantae; Streptophyta; Magnoliopsida; Malpighiales; Euphorbiaceae. The record is from RNAcentral.
CAAGCAAUGAGAACUGCGACAAAAAUUACAGCGUUGAGUGUAGGUCCCCUUCUUCUCCAUCUCUGCAAAAAGCUCAAUUCCUCUUUCAUUAUCUCCGUUGACAGCCAACCCCAAGAUCAUAGAACUCCAAGUUGUUACGUCUUUAUAUAGCAUCUUCUUAAAUAUUUCAACAGCCUCUUUUACGUGACCACACUUAGCAUAAAAAUCUAUCAAUGCAGUGCCCAUCUCGAGCUCAUAAUCCAAACUGUCCCCAUCUACAUAGGAAUGAAUCCAUUUCCCAUCUUCAAAUGCACCUAUUGCUGCACAGGCAUUAAGGACACUAACCAAAAGAGAUCCACUAAACCUCACACUACUACAACUCUUCAAUUCUUGAAACAACUCAAUGGCUUCAUUGAAAUGACCGUUCCGAACAUACCCAGAAACCACUGCAUUAUAAGAAAUUUCAUUUCUCUCUGGCAUUGUAUCAAACAUCUUACGCGCUUCAUUCAUCAAGCCAUUACUACAGUACCACAAACCAGACCACAUUUAGAUCAAUACUUUAAUCAAAAAUUUGACGAGCAAGUUCCAUUGCUUCACACUUUGAAUACAUAUUAAUAAUAGAACUAAUGAUAUAAUACACGUGUCCGAAUUUCAAUAUUUAACAAUGAACUUGAUCAAGCCAAGAAAAGCAAACGCAGCAUUUUAUCAAACUUCUAAAAAUAUGGGAAUUUGGUCUGAUCCCUAUGCUAAGCAUACGUGCAAAAAGUGAAAGACCCUUUUGAGGAUGUGAGUUUUGAGACAAACCCAAUAUCAUGGAAUUGAAAUUAAAGGCAUUGGGUAUUUGAAUUUAAUUGAGAACGGUUUGCGCACAAUCGAUGUCUCCAUUGUGUGACAGUGCACAGAAGGCUAAGAUUUUGCUGGUUAUAAAGGUGAAACGAGCCAAGCCAUUUGUGAUUAUGUGAGUUUGGAUUUGCUUUAGCUCUAUCAUGGUUUUGCAUUUUUGCAGAAGAGCAAGAAUUGGAGAAUUUGAUAUCGAGAGGAUUCCUGACAUGGGUCAAUAACCUUAGAUGCUGUAAACUAAGCAACAUCGACCAGGGCUAGAAGAAAAUCUC